GUCUGCGGCCACGCCACCCCGGACGCGCCCGAUCUCGUCUGAUGUGGGAAGCUAAGCAGGGUCGGGCCUGGUUAGCCCUUGGAUGGGAGACCACCUAGGAAGACCAGGUGCUGUAGGCG
This 119-nucleotide ribosomal RNA is filed under the name Pteropus alecto (black flying fox). The record is from RNAcentral. Lineage: Eukaryota; Metazoa; Chordata; Mammalia; Chiroptera; Pteropodidae.